RNAcentral lists this ribosomal RNA (722 nucleotides) under uncultured Lachnospiraceae bacterium. Its description in RNAcentral is "bacterial SSU rRNA". It matches the Rfam family "Bacterial small subunit ribosomal RNA", at positions 28 to 750 of the family's 1533-position model. Lineage: Bacteria; Bacillati; Bacillota; Clostridia; Lachnospirales; Lachnospiraceae. The record is from RNAcentral.
GAUGAACGCUGGCGGCGUGCCAAACACAUGCAAGUCGAGCGAAGCACUUUGCUUAGAUUCUUCGGAUGAAGAGGAUUGUGACUGAGCGGCGGACGGGUGAGUAACGCGUGGGUAACCUGCCUCAUACAGGGGGAUAACAGUUAGAAAUGACUGCUAAUACCGCAUAAGACCACAGCACCGCAUGGUGCGGGGGUAAAAACUCCGGUGGUAUGAGAUGGACCCGCGUCUGAUUAGCUAGUUGGUAAGGUAACGGCUUACCAAGGCGACGAUCAGUAGCCGACCUGAGAGGGUGACCGGCCACAUUGGGACUGAGACACGGCCCAAACUCCUACGGGAGGCAGCAGUGGGGAAUAUUGCACAAUGGGGGAAACCCUGAUGCAGCGACGCCGCGUGAGCGAAGAAGUAUUUCGGUAUGUAAAGCUCUAUCAGCAGGGAAGAAAAUGACGGUACCUGACUAAGAAGCACCGGCUAAAUACGUGCCAGCAGCCGCGGUAAUACGUAUGGUGCAAGCGUUAUCCGGAUUUACUGGGUGUAAAGGGAGCGUAGACGGAUGGGCAAGUCUGAUGUGAAAACCCGGGGCUCAACCCCGGGACUGCAUUGGAAACUGUUCAUCUAGAGUGCUGGAGAGGUAAGUGGAAUUCCUAGUGUAGCGGUGAAAUGCGUAGAUAUUAGGAGGAACACCAGUGGCGAAGGCGGCUUACUGGACAGUAACUGACGUUGAG